GAUGAACGCUGGCGGCGUGCCUAAUACAUGCAAGUCGAGCGAACAGACGAGGAGCUUGCUCCUCUGACGUUAGCGGCGGACGGGUGAGUAACACGUGGAUAACCUACCUAUAAGACUGGGAUAACUUCGGGAAACCGGAGCUAAUACCGGAUAAUAUAUUGAACCGCAUGGUUCAAUAGUGAAAGACGGUUUUGCUGUCACUUAUAGAUGGAUCCGCGCCGCAUUAGCUAGUUGGUAAGGUAACGGCUUACCAAGGCAACGAUGCGUAGCCGACCUGAGAGGGUGAUCGGCCACACUGGAACUGAGACACGGUCCAGACUCCUACGGGAGGCAGCAGUAGGGAAUCUUCCGCAAUGGGCGAAAGCUAGACGGAGCAACGCCGCGUGAGUGAUGAAGGUCUUCGGAUCGUAAAACUCUGUUAUUAGGGAAGAACAAAUGUGUAAGUAACUAUGCACGUCUUGACGGUACCUAAUCAGAAAGCCACGGCUAACUACGUG
This 497-nucleotide ribosomal RNA is filed under the name uncultured bacterium. RNAcentral describes it as "partial 16S ribosomal RNA". It matches the Rfam family "Bacterial small subunit ribosomal RNA", at positions 28 to 507 of the family's 1533-position model. The record is from RNAcentral.